GAUGAACGCUGGCGGCGUGCUUAACACAUGCAAGUCGAACGAAGCACUUUAUUUGAUUUCCUUCGGGACUGAGUAUCUUGUGACUGAGUGGCGGACGGGUGAGUAACGCGUGGGUAACGGGCCUUGUACAGGGGGAUAACAGAUGGAAACGGCUGCUAAUACAGCAUAAGCGCACGGCAUCGCAUGAUGCAGUGUGAAAAACUCCGGUGGUAUAAGAUGUACCCGCGUUGGAUUAGCGAGUUGGUGAGGUAACGGCCCACCAAGGCGACGAUCCAUAGCCGACCUGUGAGGGUGACCGGCCACACUGGGACUGAGACACGGCCCGAACUCCUACGGGAGGCAGCAGUGGCGAAUAUUGCACAAUGGGCUAAAGCCUGAUGCAGCGACGCCGCGUGAGCGAAGAAGUAUUUCGGUAUGUAAAGCUCUAUCAGCAGUGAAGAUAAUGACGGUACCUGACUAAGAAGCACCGGCUAACUACGUG
Molecule: ribosomal RNA, 481 nt
Filed under: uncultured bacterium
Lineage: Bacteria
Description: partial 16S ribosomal RNA
Rfam family: Bacterial small subunit ribosomal RNA
Source: RNAcentral